GAUGAACGCUGGCGGCGUGCCUAACACAUGCAAGUCGAGCGACCAGACGAUGAGCUUGCUCUUCUGCCGUUAGCGGCGGACGGGUGAGUAACGCGUGGAUCACCUUCUUCUUUUUCUUGGAUAACUUCGUGAGACCGGAGCUACUACUAGCUAAUACAUCGUGCCGCAUGGUGCAAUAGUUCAUCACAGCUUUCCUGUCUCUUUUAGCUGGAUCCGCGUCGGAUUAGCUAGUUGGUAAGGUAAAGGCUUACCAAGGCAACGAUGCGUAGCCGAUCUGAGAGGGUGAUCAGCCACACUGGAACUGAGACACGGUCCAGACUCCUACGGGAGGCAGCAGUAGGGAAUAUUGGACAAUGGGCGAAAGCCUGACGGAGCCAUGCCGCGUGAGUGAAGAAGGUCUUCGGGUCGUAAAGCUCUGUUAUUAGGGAAGAAAAAAAGUAGGAGAAACUAUGGAUGUCUUGACGGUACCUAAAGAAAAAGCAACGGCUAACUACGUG
Molecule: ribosomal RNA, 497 nt
Filed under: uncultured bacterium
Lineage: Bacteria
Description: partial 16S ribosomal RNA
Rfam family: Bacterial small subunit ribosomal RNA
Source: RNAcentral